AGUGAACGCUGGCGGUAGGCCUAACACAUGCAAGUCGAACGGCAGCACAGUAAGAGCUUGCUCUUACGGGUGGCGAGUGGCGGACGGGUGAGGAAUACAUCGGAAUCUACUUUUUCGUGGGGGAUAACGUAGGGAAACUUACGUUAAUACCGCAUACGACCUACGGGUGAAAGCAGGGGAUCUUCGGACCUUGCGCGAUUGAAUGAGCCGAUGUCGGAUUAGCUAGUUGGCGGGGUAAAGGCCCACCAAGGCGACGAUCCGUAGCUGGUCUGAGAGGAUGAUCAGCCACACUGGAACUGAGACACGGUCCAGACUCCUACGGGAGGCAGCAGUGGGGAAUAUUGGACAAUGGGCGCAAGCCUGAUCCAGCCAUACCGCGUGGGUGAAGAAGGCCUUCGGGUUGUAAAGCCCUUUUGUUGGGAAAGAAAAGCAGCAGGUUAAUACCCCGCUGUUCUGACGGUACCCAAAGAAUAAGCACCGGCUAACUUCGUG
Molecule: ribosomal RNA, 492 nt
Filed under: uncultured bacterium
Lineage: Bacteria
Description: partial 16S ribosomal RNA
Rfam family: Bacterial small subunit ribosomal RNA
Source: RNAcentral